UACCUGUUUUAUACUAUAUAUUGUAUUAUCUUUAUAUAACUCUCACACAAAUUUUAAAACGCAAUCGAUAUAUUUACCUUAAUGAAAGAUCACGAUUGUAAUAUAAAAUGCAUUCUUGUCAAAAAUUAUUCUAAACGAAAAUGGUCUUAGAUUGCAGAUAAUUAAUAUUUCAGAUAAAUUAUAUAAUACUAGCUGACCCCACAAACGCUGUAUUUUUGCCAUAUAAAGUAAUAAGAAAAAAAAAACAAUAUAAAAAUUUUUUGAGGUAAAUGAGAAAUAGAGUACGACUUAAGAUUAAACAUCUACAUAAAAUAAUAUAGAUAGUUAAUAACUGUAGUUAAUCUACCAACUAUAGUAAGCUAAAAUUAAGUUAAUUUCUUACCUCCUGAGAAACUCAGAAAUGUAAAGAUUUUAAUUAGUUAUUCAUUUUAAACAAUUCUUUCAAUUUGAUUUCUGAACGACGGGGACACAUGAAAGGAAAAAGUUGUUAUUUUUGUUUUUAUUUCAUUCUGAGCAUUUUCCUAUUUAUUCACCUUUUAAACCUUCUCUGGACUUCCACAAAUAAUUCAAGACCAAAAUUAGCCAAAUCGGUUCACCCGUUCUCGAGUUUAAGCGAGACUAACGAACAGCAAUUCAUUUAUAUAUAUAUAUAGAUUCUAUAUGAUUAGUCAGUAUUUUAUUACUAAUAAGUAAUAAACAAACAUACUGCUUAAUAAAAAAACCCGUUUUUUUUAAACAAGUAAAAUCGCUACUAAAUGUUACUAAAUAUUUCUACUUUCGUUUUGACAGCUACAUUUUCUGGGCUGUCCAGCUAUAUUCAAUAUGGGUGCAAAGAUAAUGCCAUAGAAGUCAUUUAUUUUCUCGAAAUUGAUUCCAUUAGAAUACUUUUUCAUGUCAUUUCUAAUACACCAGACACUGCCACCGCUUCGGAAGCAAAUGGCGCUCUGAGAGAGAAGAAGCCGCCCAAGAAACUCAGCCUUCUUUUUUUUGCUCUCUUUUUAAUCAAAUAUACAAUAUUGUACUGUCAUUGCUAUCUAUUGCUAUAAAAGUAAUCAUAAUCUAGUUAGUCCCAGGCUAUCGGAUCACUUAGAUUUUCAGCUGUGGAGUAGUAGGAUUUACGACAUAGCCAUUUUUUAAUAAAAAAAUUAAAUUUACUUAUAGAUAAUGCCUGAGUAGUGGCUAGGACUUUAUUAUUAGUGUAUACAUUAACCCUUAAAGCUAUAGCGUAUCGAAAGGAGUCAGAAAACUAUAAAGUCAUACCCCUCGCAAGCGGAAGUACUGGCGUAGGACGUGACGAACCCACCGCCCACAGCUGUUAUAUCUUGGUCAAGAAGGUAUAACAGCUGCGCAGUCAGUCAGUACCCCCUCAUUCUUUGUGGCACUCUCUUAACAAACAAUUUUCACAAAAAUCAAAAACUAAUGUUGUCUUAAACAAAGAUAGAACAACAAUCUGCCUUAAAAUUAAUGAGUGUAACUGUCAAUCUCCUACUUAACAGAUUAUUUCCCUGUAUUUUGAAUUUUAUGGAAAUUGUUAUCAGGGUACUAAAAUGUAUGAUAUGCCACGAGAUCACAUGUUCUAACUAUAGAAUUCAAAUAGUGUUCUUCUCUUUGUUAGCUCAAACAAUGACUGCUAUUUGGUUUCAUAUCUGAUCUCAUGUCGCUAGUGUAGGAAAAGUUUGUCAUCAAUUUCAUUUGCAAAACCAUCGCCUUGCGACGCGAAUAAAUUGCAAAAUAUCAAUGUUGUUGCCUCUAUGUGCUUGAAAAAUGUUUUUGAAUAAAACUUUGAAGUCAUCUAUUAAUAAGAACACGUAUUUUACUAUUAAAAAUUUUUAUUUACUGAAAUAAUAAGAUGUGUUUUGGGUUCUGAAUUGGAUUAGGUACUAUUAUUUUAGUCUGGGAUUACUAUAUAAUUAUUUUGGCAAAACCUACGCCUUGUUACGCGAAUAAAUUGCUUCAAAUCUAUGUUGUAGUGAAUAAGUGAUAGAAACACUAUGCUUACUAAAUGUUUUUUCAAGGUAAAGAUUUAUUAGAAUCAGCAUUUUCAUAUAAAAGAAAUUCUUUGCUACAUAAUUCGUCGAUGUGGGUUCCGUAAUUGGUUAAGGUACUAUUUCUAAUCUGGGAUUAGUGUAUAAUUUUUGUUGCAAAACCAUCGCCUUGUGACGCGAAAAAUUGCAUUAAAUUGAUGUUGUAGUAAUAUGUCAUAGAGACACUAUUUGCUUACUACAUGUUUUUAAUAAAACUUUGAAAGUAUCGAUUUAUAGGUAUAAAAUUUUUCUUUAUUAUAAAUUCAUUUAUUAUUACAUAGAUAUUGAUAAUUAAUUGAUGAUAUGUGAUAGAAACACUAUGUGCUUACUAAAUGUUUUUUCAAGGUAAAGAUUUAUUAGAAUCAGUAUUUUCAUAUAAAGGAAAUUAUUAGCGACAUUAUUCGUUGAUUUAGGUUCCGUAAUUGGUUAAGGUACUGUUUCUAAUCUGGGGUUAUUGUAUAAUUAUUGUGGCAAAACCAUCGCCUUGUGACGCGAAAAAAUUGCAUACAUCGAUGUUGUAGUAAUAUGUCAAUGAGACACUAUUU
Long non-coding RNA from Leptidea sinapis, 2569 nucleotides. RefSeq lists it as uncharacterized. NCBI's taxonomy places the organism in Eukaryota, Metazoa, Arthropoda, Insecta, Lepidoptera, Pieridae. The transcript has 3 exons. The record is from RefSeq and is a predicted model, not a curated record.